AUUGAACGCUGGCGGCAGGCCUAACACAUGCAAGUCGAGCGGAUGAAGGGAGCUUGCUCCUGGAUUCAGCGGCGGACGGGUGAGUAAUGCCUAGGAAUCUGCCUGGUAGUGGGGGAUAACGUCCGGAAACGGGCGCUAAUACCGCAUACGUCCUGAGGGAGAAAGUGGGGGACCUUCGAACCUCACGCUAUCAGAUGAGCCUAGGUCGGAUUAGCUAGUUGGUGGGGUAAAGGCCUACCAAGGCGACGAUCCGUAACUGGUCUGAGAGGAUGAUCAGUCACACUGGAACUGAGACACGGUCCAGACUCCUACGGGAGGCAGCAGUGGGGAAUAUUGGACAAUGGGCGAAAGCCUGAUCCAGCCAUGCCGCGUGUGUGAAGAAGGUCUUCGGAUUGUAAAGCACUUUAAGUUGGGAGGAAGGGCAGUAAGUUAAUACCUUGCUGUUUUGACGUUACCAACAGAAUAAGCACCGGCUAACUUCGUG
RNAcentral lists this ribosomal RNA (484 nucleotides) under uncultured bacterium. RNAcentral describes it as "partial 16S ribosomal RNA". It matches the Rfam family "Bacterial small subunit ribosomal RNA", at positions 30 to 507 of the family's 1533-position model. The record is from RNAcentral.